GCUGGGCAUGGUGGCGUACACCUGUAAUCCUAGCAACUGGGGAGGCUGAAGCAGGAGGAUCUCAAGUUCAAAGCCAGCCUUAGCAAAUGCAAGGCGCUAAGCAACUCAGUGAGACCCUGUCUCUA
This 125-nucleotide small RNA is filed under the name Marmota monax (woodchuck). Lineage: Eukaryota; Metazoa; Chordata; Mammalia; Rodentia; Sciuridae. The record is from RNAcentral.